ACGGCAGUUUUGAGAUAGGGUAAGAGAGUGGUUUGUGUUUGAGUUUAGAAGUACAUGAGGAUGACAGGACGUACUUAUAUAAGCUACAUGCAUUGAGAAAACAAGGCGAUGUGAAUCAUGUUCCAGAUGACGUGAUGGCGCAAUCAUAUAUAAAACAUUAGUGCCGGCUCUAAAGUCUAAGCCGUAGAGGUGAUAAAUAACUGGCUUCUGCGAGCUGAGGUGCACCGGUGAUGUUCGCCCGCUGUGACGCUGUCUUUUAAACCGCCAUCAGUCACUUCGUUUCUCACGGCCGGCCACAAGUUCACGCCUCUAGAUACAUUUAGAACACCUCGGCGUUGUAAUCAAUAAAAAGUAGAAUCAGGGACGGAGCUUUCAUUCAACAAUGUUAGCCGUUUAUGGCCCGGACUUUGAAAAACGAAAAAUAAAAAGUCUUCUGGAGGUACUCUUCUGGGAGGUCAUGGACAGAAAACGGGCCGAAGCACCACAGAUGACGGUUGUUACUGUGGAUGGAAUUUUUGUUCCUUUCAUCUCAGACAUCUGGUGAGUUCCUAGCAAAUUAAUGUAUGCCACGGUAUCUCACAACCACGAACAAGGCGACAAGAGCUAACAAGGUCAGGGAGCAUCACAAUUCCGAACUACACAGAACCACUGACUUCCAGAAACCGCGGAAGCUAAUGAAAUCAAUCAACCAAGAACUAGGCCUGAUCGAGCCGUCAUUGUCAGCGAGUCUCCUGAUUACCAGCUCGAGUAACACCAAUCCUAGGUAUAUACUUUUUUCAAUGAAUACGUAAUGUACCUUAUAGCAAACAUUGGAAAUCGAUGAUAUGAAACAGGGGUAUGCAAAAUUUAACUUGCGGAUUAAUUAAUUACAAAAAUGAGCACCCCGUGAUUUUCUAAUAUUUAGAGCAGGAGUAGACGAAUUCAGUAUAACUUUGGAGCCGGACACACUUUCCAAGUAUCAAUUACAAAAUCGUUAGAUAAAACAACCUAACUUCUCUAAAUAAUUAAUGUCAUAGCGCAGAGACCUUAUUCAGCUAGUCAAGGAAUUCAUCACCGUUUGUUAAACCCGUGUUCAAAGAAACAUAUCAAUUCGCUUCCCAAUAGA
This is a long non-coding RNA of Zootermopsis nevadensis, 1105 nucleotides long. RefSeq lists it as uncharacterized. NCBI's taxonomy places the organism in Eukaryota, Metazoa, Arthropoda, Insecta, Blattodea, Termopsidae. The record is from RefSeq and is a predicted model, not a curated record.